CCUACGGGAGGCAGCAGUGGGGAAUUUUCCGCAAUGGGCGAAAGCCUGACGGAGCAAUACAGCGUGAGGGAAGACUGCCUAUGGGUUGUAAACCUCUUUUUUCAGGGAGGAAUAAAAUGACGUGUACCUGAAGAAUAAGCAUCGGCUAGCUCCGUGCCAGCAGCCGCGGUAAGACGGAGGAUGCAAGUGUUAUCCGGAAUCACUGGGCGUAAAGCGUCUGUAGGUGGUUUAAUAAGUCAACUGUUAAAUCUUGAGGCUCAACUUCAAAAUCGCAGUCGAAACUAUUAGACUAGAGUAUAGUAGAGGUAAAGGGAAUUUCCAGUGGAGCGGUGAAAUGCGUAGAUAUUGGAAAGAACACCGAUGGCGAAAGCACUUUACUGGGCUAUUACUAACACUCAGAGACGAAAGCUAGGGUAGCAAAUGGGAUUAGAUACCCCAGUAGUCCUAGCCGUAAACUAUGGAUACUAGAUGUUGAACAGAUCGACCUGUGCAGUAUCAAAGCUAACGCGUUAAGUAUCCCGCCUGGGAAGUAUGCUCGCAAGAGUGAAACUCAAAUGAAUUGACGGA
Molecule: ribosomal RNA, 567 nt
Filed under: uncultured bacterium
Lineage: Bacteria
Description: bacterial SSU rRNA
Rfam family: Bacterial small subunit ribosomal RNA
Source: RNAcentral